UCUCCGUAGGUGAACCUGCGGAGGGAUCAUUACAGAGUUCAUGCCCUACCGGGUAGAUCUCCCACCCUAUGUUAUUAUUACUUUGUUGCUUUGGCGGGCCGUUAGGCUCCGGCCCGACUACCGGCCCCGGCUGGUAAGCGCCCGCCAGAGGACCCAAAACCCUGAAUAUUAGUGUCGUCUGAGUACUAUAUAAUAGUUAAAACUUCCAACAACGGAUCUCUUGGUUCUG
This 229-nucleotide unclassified non-coding RNA is filed under the name plant metagenome. Its description in RNAcentral is "partial contains small subunit ribosomal RNA, internal transcribed spacer 1, and 5.8S ribosomal RNA". The record is from RNAcentral.